RNAcentral lists this unclassified non-coding RNA (284 nucleotides) under uncultured fungus. RNAcentral's name for it is "sequence contains ITS1". The stretch from base 1 to 105 matches the Rfam family "5.8S ribosomal RNA", at positions 50 to 154 of the family's 154-position model. Lineage: Eukaryota; Fungi. The record is from RNAcentral.
GAAAUGCGAUAAGUAAUGUGAAUUGCAGAAUUCAGUGAAUCAUCGAAUCUUUGAACGCAUAUUGCGCCCUUUGGCAUUCCGAAGGGCAUACCUGUUCGAGCGUCAUUACACCCUUCAAACGUAACUGUUUGAUGUUGGGCGAUGCCUGGAGGCAUGCCUAAAAUUUAGCGACGGUACAUUAAACCUCCAGCGCACAGAUGUCGUUAUGUGGGCGAGAUGGCACCGGUCUCCAUGAAUUUCUGAAUGUUGACCUCGGAUCAGGUAGGGAUACCCGCUGAACUUAA